AUUGAACGCUGGCGGCAGGCCUAACACAUGCAAGUCGAGCGAACGGCGGACGGGUGAGUAAUGUAUGGGGGCUGCCCGAUAGAGGUGGAUAACUACAGCAAGCGGUAACUACUACCACAUACAAUCGAAUAACCCAUAUGUGAUUAGCUAGUAGGUGAGGUAAUGGCUCAACUAGGAGACGAUCCCUAGCUGGUCUGAGAGGAUGAUCAGCCACACUGGGACGGAGACACGGCCCAGACUCCGACGGAGGCAGCAGUGGGGAAUAUUGGACAAUGGGCGCAAGCCUGAUGCAGCCAUGCCGCGUGUAUGAAGAAGGCCCUAGGUUUGUAAAGUACUUUCAGUCGGGAGGCGUUACCGACAGAAGAAGCACCGGCUAACUCCGUGCCAGCAGCCGCGGUAAUUC
RNAcentral lists this ribosomal RNA (403 nucleotides) under uncultured bacterium. RNAcentral describes it as "partial 16S ribosomal RNA". It matches the Rfam family "Bacterial small subunit ribosomal RNA", at positions 30 to 526 of the family's 1533-position model. The record is from RNAcentral.